Molecule: non-coding RNA, 51 nt
Filed under: unclassified sequences
Description: Li+-I sequence
Rfam family: nhaA-I RNA
About the family: Acidobacteria, Alphaproteobacteria, Betaproteobacteria and Gammaproteobacteria, Verrucomicrobia, cand. division NC10. Downstream gene
Source: Rfam by way of RNAcentral
GGGUUCGGAAUAAUUUCCGAAGGGUUAACUGGAUGGUCGGGCCGCCAUUCG